GCGGAAGUAAUUCAAUGGCAGAAUGGGUGACUGCCAGUCAUCAUGUUGGGAGUUCGAGUCUCCUCUUCCGCU
This 72-nucleotide transfer RNA is filed under the name Vallitaleaceae bacterium. Its description in RNAcentral is "tRNA-Gly". It matches the Rfam family "tRNA". From Rfam's summary of the family: Transfer RNA (tRNA) molecules are approximately 80 nucleotides in length. Their secondary structure includes four short double-helical elements and three loops (D, anti-codon, and T loops). Lineage: Bacteria; Bacillati; Bacillota; Clostridia; Lachnospirales; Vallitaleaceae. The record is from RNAcentral.